This 253-nucleotide ribosomal RNA is filed under the name uncultured bacterium. RNAcentral describes it as "partial 16S ribosomal RNA". It matches the Rfam family "Bacterial small subunit ribosomal RNA", at positions 524 to 776 of the family's 1533-position model. The record is from RNAcentral.
UACGGAGGGUGCAAGCGUUGUUCGGAUUUAUUGGGCGUAAAGCGCGUGUAGGCGGUUUUGUAAGUCUGAUGUGAAAGCCCCGGGCUCAACCUGGGAAGUGCAUUGGAAACUGCAGGACUUGAAUACGGGAGAGGGUAGUGGAAUUCCUAGUGUAGGAGUGAAAUCCGUAGAUAUUAGGAGGAACACCGGUGGCGAAGGCGGCUACCUGGACCGAUAUUGACGCUGAGACGCGAAAGCGUGGGUAGCAAACAGG